UACAGAGGGUGCAAGCGUUGUUCGGAAUUAUUGGGCGUAAAGCGCGCGCAGGCGGUCCUUUAAGUCUGAUGUGAAAGCCCACGGCUCAACCGUGGAGGGUCAUUGGAAACUGGGGGACUUGAGUACAGAAGAGAAGAGUGGAAUUCCAGGUGUAGCGGUGAAAUGCGCAGAUAUCAGGAGGAACACCGGUGGCGAAGGCGGGUCUCUGGGCCGUAACUGACGCUGAGGAGCGAAAGCGUGGGGAGCGAACAGG
This 253-nucleotide ribosomal RNA is filed under the name uncultured bacterium. Its description in RNAcentral is "partial 16S ribosomal RNA". It matches the Rfam family "Bacterial small subunit ribosomal RNA", at positions 524 to 776 of the family's 1533-position model. The record is from RNAcentral.